RNAcentral lists this ribosomal RNA (1054 nucleotides) under Hymenochaete peroxydata. Its description in RNAcentral is "eukaryotic LSU rRNA". The stretch from base 684 to 1054 matches the Rfam family "Eukaryotic large subunit ribosomal RNA", at positions 1 to 365 of the family's 3401-position model. The record is from RNAcentral. Lineage: Eukaryota; Fungi; Basidiomycota; Agaricomycetes; Hymenochaetales; Hymenochaetaceae.
UUUCCGUAGGUGAACCUGCGGAAGGAUCAUUAAUGAAGUUUACCGGUCAGUGCUGGCGAGUUCCAACUUGCAUGUGCACGGCCGUCUUCCUUUYUAUCAACCCCCUGUGCACCCUUUAAUUAAGUGGAUCCGAAGGGAAGCGCGUCUGGGGGGAGGAUUUAACCUURGUAGUUGUGGGUCCCGAAAGGGACGCACGGCAAAAGGUUAUUCUGUUAAUCCCUGCGCGCGUGGUACUUUGGAGUUCAUUUAACUMCAACCCACAUAAAUAAUAGUCUUGUGGAAUGUUUAGUCCUACGGGACGCUAAAUACAAUACAACUUUCAACAACGGAUCUCUUGGCUCUCGCAUCGAUGAAGAACGCAGCGAAAUGCGAUAAGUAAUGUGAAUUGCAGAAUUCAGUGAAUCAUCGAAUCUUUGAACGCACCUUGCGCCCUUUCUUUCGGAAGGGCACGCCUGUUUGAGUGUCAUGUUCAUCUCAAUCCCCUUGGUUUUGUAAAAGAAACUGAUGGGGAUUGGAUUUGGGGGCUGCCGGUUUCUCUUACCAGAGGUCGGCUCUCCUUGAAUGCAUUAGUGGGCAUCUGACUCGCGUUGCUGGUGUGAUAGUUACCUUCAUCAUCGGCAAAGCUUGUCUAAUGGGUCUGCUUUCGAACGGUCUUCUCAACGGAGACAAUUACUUGACACGUUUGACCUCAAAUCAGGUGGGACUACCCGCUGAACUUAAGCAUAUCAAUAAGCGGAGGAAAAGAAACUAACAAGGAUUCCCCUAGUAACUGCGAGUGAAGCGGGAUGAGCUCAAAUUUAAAAUCUGGCAGGUUCUGUCUGUCCGAGUUGUAAUCUGGAGAAGCGUUUUCCGCGCCGGACCGUGUACAAGUCUCUUGGAACGGAGCGUCAUAGAGGGUGAGAAUCCCGUCCAUGACACGGACCGCCGGUGCUUUGUGAUACGCUCUCGAAGAGUCGAGUUGUUUGGGAAUGCAGCUCAAAAUGGGUGGUAAAUUCCAUCUAAAGCUAAAUAUUGGCGAGAGACCGAUAGCGAACAAGUACCGUGAGGGAAAGAU